AGUCAUACGCUCGUCUCAAAGAUUAAGCCAUGCAUGUGUAAGUAUAAAUAUUUAACUUUGAAACUGCGAAUGGCUCAUUAUAUCAGUUAUAGUUUAUUUGAUGAAAAGUACUACUUGGAUAACCGUAGUAAUUCUAGAGCUAAUACAUGAUAAAAUCCUCGACUUUGAAGAGGUGUAUUUAUUAGAAUGAAACCAAUAGACUUCGGUCUGUUUGUGAGUAAUAAUAACUAAUCGUAUCGCAUGCUUAGGUAGCGAUAUGUCUUUCAAGUUUCUGCCCUAUCAGCUUUGGAUGGUAGUGUAUUGGACUACCAUGGCAGUAACGGGUAACGAAGAAUUUGGGUUCGAUUUCGGAGAGGGAGCCUGAGAGAUGGCUACCACAUCCAAGGAAGGCAGCAGGCGCGUAAAUUACCCAAUCCUGACAUAGGGAGGUAGUGACAAUAAAUCACAAUGCGGAACUAUUAGUUUUGCAAUUGGAUUGAGAACAAUGUACAAAUGUUAUCGAUA
Molecule: ribosomal RNA, 504 nt
Filed under: Blastocystis sp. BL057
Lineage: Eukaryota; Bigyra; Opalinata; Blastocystidae
Description: SSU rRNA
Rfam family: Eukaryotic small subunit ribosomal RNA
Source: RNAcentral